RNAcentral lists this ribosomal RNA (433 nucleotides) under uncultured bacterium. RNAcentral's name for it is "partial 16S ribosomal RNA". It matches the Rfam family "Bacterial small subunit ribosomal RNA", at positions 29 to 507 of the family's 1533-position model. The record is from RNAcentral.
AACGAACGCUGGCGGCAUGCCUAACACAUGCAAGUCGAACGAGACCUUCGGGUCUAGUGGCGCACGGGUGCGUAACGCGUGGGAACCUGCCCUUAGGUUCGGAAUAACUCCCCGAAAGGGGUGCUAAUACCGGAUAAUGUCUUCGGACCACAGAUUUAUCGCCUUUGGAUGGGCCCGCGUUGGAUUAGCUAGUUGGUAGGGUAAAAGCCUACCAAGGCGACGAUCCAUAGCUGGUCUGAGAGGAUGAUCAGCCACACUGGGACUGAGACACGGCCCAGACUCCUACGGGAGGCAGCAGUGGGGAAUAUUGGACAAUGGGCGAAAGCCUGAUCCAGCAAGGCCGCGUGAGUGAUGAAGGCCGUAGGGUUGUAAAGCUCUUUUACCCGGGAUGAUAAUGACAGUACCGGGAGAAUAAGCUCCGGCUAACUCCGUG